UACGAAGGGAGCUAGCGUUGUUCGGAAUCACUGGGCGUAAAGCGCACGUAGGCGGAUGUGUCAGUCAGGGGUGAAAUCCCCGGGCUCAACCCGGGAACUGCGUCCGAUACUGGCAGGCUUGAAUCCGGGAGAGGGAUGCGGAAUUCCAGGUGUAGCGGUGAAAUGCGUAGAUAUCUGGAGGAACACCGGUGGCGAAGGCGGCAUCCUGGACCGGCAUUGACGCUGAGGCGCGAAAGCUAGGGGAGCAAACGGG
RNAcentral lists this ribosomal RNA (253 nucleotides) under uncultured bacterium. RNAcentral's name for it is "partial 16S ribosomal RNA". It matches the Rfam family "Bacterial small subunit ribosomal RNA", at positions 524 to 776 of the family's 1533-position model. The record is from RNAcentral.